Molecule: ribosomal RNA, 434 nt
Filed under: uncultured Oscillospiraceae bacterium
Lineage: Bacteria; Bacillati; Bacillota; Clostridia; Eubacteriales; Oscillospiraceae
Description: partial 16S ribosomal RNA
Rfam family: Bacterial small subunit ribosomal RNA
Source: RNAcentral
ACGGAAGGCAGCAGUGGGGAAUAUUGGGCAAUGGGGGAAACCCUGACCCAGCAACGCCGCGUGAAGGAAGAAGGCCUUCGGGUUGUAAACUUCUUUUACCAGGGACGAUAAUGACGGUACCUAGAGAAAAAGCAACGGCUAACUACGUGCCAGCAGCCGCGGUAAUACGUAGGUUGCAAGCGUUGUCCGGAUUUACUGGGUGUAAAGGGCGUGUAGGCGGAGCUGCAAGUCAGAUGUGAAAUCCCGGGGCUCAACCCCGGAGCUGCAUUUGAAACUGUAGCCCUUGAGUAUCGGAGAGGCAAGCGGAAUUCCUAGUGUAGCGGUGAAAUGCGUAGAUAUUAGGAGGAACACCAGUGGCGAAGGCGGCUUGCUGGACGACAACUGACGCUGAGGCGCGAAAGCGUGGGGAGCAAACAGGAUUAGAUACCCUGGUA